Pecten maximus is the source of this 261-nucleotide long non-coding RNA. RefSeq lists it as uncharacterized. The record is from RefSeq and is a predicted model, not a curated record. Lineage: Eukaryota; Metazoa; Mollusca; Bivalvia; Pectinida; Pectinidae. The transcript is spliced from 2 exons.
UAGAUUUGAGGGCGGUGUUGUAUAUUCUACAAUUCAUGGAACCUAAAACGUAAGUAAAAGCGACAUAAAAAUGAGCUGGAGGUGGGUGAAGGCGUACAAAAGCAUGUCAAAACGAAAGUAGAAGCAACAAGAUACAGCUUUGGAAGUUUUGUCAGCAGCAGCUUAAAUAAAGAGGCUAUAACAACUACAUAGAUAUGAGCUGCUGAAUUUGCACCAUGAACAACAAAAUACUACAUCUUUCUCAAGUGUUAUAUUGAUAGU